Molecule: ribosomal RNA, 489 nt
Filed under: uncultured bacterium
Lineage: Bacteria
Description: bacterial SSU rRNA
Rfam family: Bacterial small subunit ribosomal RNA
Source: RNAcentral
GAUGAACGCUAGCUACAGGCUUAACACAUGCAAGUCGAGGGGCAGCAUGAACUUAGCUUGCUAAGUUUGAUGGCGACCGGCGCACGGGUGAGUAACACGUAUCCAACCUGCCGAUGACUCGGGGAUAGCCUUUCGAAAGAAAGAUUAAUACCCGAUGGCAUAAUUCUUCCGCAUGGUAGAACUAUUAAAGAAUUUCGGUCAUCGAUGGGGAUGCGUUCCAUUAGGUUGUUGGCGGGGUAACGGCCCACCAAGCCUUCGAUGGAUAGGGGUUCUGAGAGGAGGGUCCCCCACAUUGGAACUGAGACACGGUCCAAACUCCUACGGGAGGCAGCAGUGAGGAAUAUUGGUCAAAUGGACGAGAGUCUGAACCAGCCAAGUAGCGUGAAGGAUGACUGCCCUAUGGGUUGUAAACUUCUUUAUACGGGAAUAAAGUUAGCCACGUGUGGCUUUUUGUAUGUACCGUAUGAAUAAGGAUCGGCUAACUCCGUG